This is a non-coding RNA of Coriobacteriales bacterium, 363 nucleotides long. It matches the Rfam family "transfer-messenger RNA". From Rfam's summary of the family: Bacterial tmRNA, also known as 10Sa RNA or SsrA, is named for its dual tRNA and mRNA-like properties. Its role is to liberate the mRNA from a stalled ribosome. To accomplish this part of the tmRNA is used as a reading frame that ends in a translation stop signal. Lineage: Bacteria; Bacillati; Actinomycetota; Coriobacteriia; Coriobacteriales. The record is from Rfam.
GGGGGCGACUGGUUUCGACAUGGUAGGUUUGCGGUGAGGAGCAGGUCGUGGUCUCUCGUCCACGUUAAACCCGAGUACCGUCAAAUUUAAUUGGCAAAACUAAUUACUCUGGGCAAUAUGCCCUUGCUGCUUAAUUUAUUAGCAGCCGUCAAUCGUGGUGUUGUCCCUGCGCUGCGUGCGAUGUCAUGUUAGGGGAAUGCUGUUAGAGUGUGAACGCUGCGCUGUAACAAAAGACUGAGCGUUUAGGAAGAGAUCUGUUUGUUAGUGCACAAAGCUCUUCUGAAAUUCAAGCACUAACUAAGCUUGUAGAGCCUGACCAAUGUCCUAGCAUGGACCGGAGUUCGAUUCUCCGCGCCUCCACCA